Molecule: ribosomal RNA, 1770 nt
Filed under: Triticum aestivum (bread wheat)
Lineage: Eukaryota; Viridiplantae; Streptophyta; Magnoliopsida; Poales; Poaceae
Description: partial small subunit ribosomal RNA
Source: RNAcentral
AUGGGCAGCUACGCCUACCGCUACUGCAUGUGCUUCACCCGCAAGUUCCGAUCCCCGGACGCGCACCCGCCCCCCGACGUCCGCGCCGCCCACGCAGCCGCCGGGGCCGCGCACGGCGACGACGGCCUCCGCCGCUUCCUCGCCGACGUGCAGCGCGAGGACCCUGCCGAGGCAGACCGCGUCCUCGCCGCGCUCUCCGGCGGCGGCGCCGCCGGCGGGAUCGCCCGCUUCGUCGGCCGGUCCCCCGCCGCCGCGCUGCCCACGCUCGACGACUUCUUCGGCUUCCUCUUCUCGCCGGACCUCAACCCGCCCAUCUCCAACAAGGUUCACCAGGACAUGUCGGCCCCGAUUUCUCAUUACUAUGUAUUCACCGGUCACAAUUCUUACCUCACCGGAAACCAGCUCAAUAGUGACUCCAGUGACGUUCCAAUCAUAGCAGCAUUGCAGAAUGGCGUGCGAGUGAUUGAACUCGAUAUGUGGCCAAACUCCGCAAAGAACUGUGUUGACAUUCUGCAUGGAGGGACAUUAACUGCACCAGUAGAAAUCAUGAGAUGUUUAAAGUCCAUUAAAGAAUACGCUUUCUGCGCUUCAACAUAUCCUCUUGUAAUUACUCUUGAAGAUCACCUCACAGCAGAUCUCCAAGCCAAAGUAGCCGGGAUGAUCACGGAAACAUUUGGAGACCUCCUUUACGUCCCUAGUUCAGACACACUAAAUGAGUUCCCUUCUCCAGAAGCUCUAAUGAGAAGGAUAAUCAUCUCAACUAAACCCCCACAAGAAUACAGGGAAUUUCUUAAAGCUCAGGGUGAUCAGAAAAUCAGUGGCAAUGCAGAUAAAUUAGCAGAGGAAGGAAACUUGAGAAGAAUAGAUUCAAAUGCUGAUGAUUCUGAUGGCAAGGAUGAACCAGAUGACGAAGAUGACGAAGAAUCUGAGGAAGAGGAUCCUAAAUUUCAGCCGGAUACUGCCUGUGAGUAUAGGAAACUAAUAACAAUCCAUGCUGGCAAACCAAAAGGCCGUAUGAGGGAUGCGCUUAAGGUCGACCCUGACAAAGUCAGACGUCUUUCUUUGAGCGAGACACAGUUGGGUAAAGCAACAGCUUCUCAUGGUGCUGAUAUCAUAAGGUUUACUCAGAGGAAUAUAUUAAGGAUUUAUCCGAAGGGUACAAGGAUUAAUUCUUCUAACUAUGAUCCAAUGAAGGCCUGGACUCAUGGUGCGCAGAUGGUUGCAUUUAACAUGCAGGGGCAUGACAAAUCGCUAAGAUUAAUGCAAGGAUUUUUCAGAGCCAACGGUGGCUGCGGAUACGUUAAAAAGCCCGACUUCUUGCUAAAGACAGGCCCAAAUGGUGAAGUGUUUGAUCCCAAAGCGAGCCUGCCGGUGAAGAAAACCCUUAAGGUGAAAGUGUAUAUGGGGGACGGGUGGCGCAUGGACUUCAGUAAGACUCAUUUCGACGCCUUUUCUCCGCCCGAUUUCUACGCCAGGGUGGGGAUCGCGGGGGUGCGGGCGGACUGCGUGAUGAAGAAGACCCGGACGAUCGAGGACCAGUGGGUGCCGGUGUGGGACGAGGAGUUCACGUUCCCGCUGACGGUCCCUGAGCUGGCCCUGCUGAGGGUGGAGGUCCAGGAGUACGACAUGUCGGAGAAGCACGACUUCGGGGGGCAGACGUGCCUGCCGGUGAUGGAGCUGAAGCAGGGGAUCCGCGCCGUGCCCCUCCAUGACCGCAAGGGCAACAGGUACAAGUCCGUCAGGCUCCUUAUGCGCUUCGAGCUCAUCUAG